Molecule: long non-coding RNA, 290 nt
Organism: Mauremys mutica (yellowpond turtle)
Lineage: Eukaryota; Metazoa; Chordata; Testudines; Geoemydidae
Exons: 3
Source: RefSeq, a predicted model, not a curated record
AGACUACAGGCCUGCAUUCUGUGUGCACAUGAGAGGAGAGAGGAGGCUAUGCAAGGGGGGGUUUGUGUGUGAGGUGUCCUGUGGCCAUCAAGGAGAAAAAGACGUGACUCGUCAUUUGCCAAGUGAAAUACACUGUACAAAUAUCAGAGCAGUGUCUUCACAGCAUUAAUUCCUUUAGUACCGGUGCCGAAUCCCCUCUCUGAUAAACUGGUUCCAUUCCUGAUGAAUUUACCUUAUUGCGAUUACACCAGGCUUUCCAGCAGCUCCUUGUGACUUGGGGCCUCGUCGAC